UGAGUAACCUGCCCCUGACUCUGGGAUAACUGCUGGAAACGGUGGCUAAUACCGGAUAUGAGGUCCUCAUGCAUGUGGGGUCUGGAAAGAUUUUUUGGUCAGGGAUGGGCUCGCGGCCUAUCAGCUUGUUGGUGGGGUAACGGCUCACCAAGGCUACGACGGGUAGCUGGUCUGAGAGGACGACCAGCCACACUGGAACUGAGAUACGGUCCAGACUCCUACGGGAGGNAG
This 231-nucleotide ribosomal RNA is filed under the name uncultured bacterium. RNAcentral describes it as "partial 16S ribosomal RNA". It matches the Rfam family "Bacterial small subunit ribosomal RNA", at positions 118 to 351 of the family's 1533-position model. The record is from RNAcentral.